This 374-nucleotide ribosomal RNA is filed under the name uncultured bacterium. RNAcentral's name for it is "bacterial SSU rRNA". It matches the Rfam family "Bacterial small subunit ribosomal RNA", at positions 521 to 896 of the family's 1533-position model. The record is from RNAcentral.
UAAGACGAACCGUGCGAACGUUGUUCGGAUUCACUGGGCUUAAAGGGCGCGUAGGCGGGCUUGUAAGUCAGGGGUGAAAUCCUCCGGCUCAACCGGAGAACAGCCUUUGAUACUGCAAGUCUCGAGGGAGAUAGGGGUCUGCGGAACUUCCGGUGGAGCGGUGAAAUGCGUAGAUAUCGGAAGGAACGCCGGUGGCGAAAGCGGCGGACUGGAUCUCAUCUGACGCUGAGGCGCGAAAGCUAGGGGAGCGAACGGGAUUAGAUACCCCGGUAGUCCUAGCCCUAAACGAUGGGUACUAGAUUGUAGACUGCAUGGGUUUACAGUCGAAGCAAAAGUGAUAAGUACCCCGCCUGGGGAGUAUGGUCGCAAGGCUG